UCCACGAGUUCCGUGCCGCAGCUAACGCAUUAAGCGCCCCGCCUGGGGAGUACGGCCGCAAGGCUAAAACUCAAAGGAAUUGACGGGGGCCCGCACAAGCGGCGGAGCAUGUUGCUUAAUUCGAUGCAACGCGAAGAACCUUACCUAGGCUUGACAUGCACGGAAAUCCUCCAGAGAUGGUGGGUCCGUAAGGGCCGUGCACAGGUGGUGCAUGGUUGUCGUCAGCUCGUGUCGUGAGAUGUUGGGUUAAGUCCCGCAACGAGCGCAACCCUCGUUCUAUGUUGCCAGCACGUGAUGGUGGGGACUCAUAGGAGACUGCCGGGGUCAACUCGGAGGAAGGUGGGGAUGACGUCAAAUCAUCAUGCCCCUUAUGUCUAGGGCUGCAAACAUGCUACAAUGGCCGGUACAAAGGGCUGCGAUACCGCGAGGUGGAGCGAAUCCCAAAAAGCCGGUCUCAGUUCGGAUUGGGGUCUGCAACUCGACCCCAUGAAGUUGGAGUCGCUAGUAAUCGCAGAUCAGCAACGCUGCGGUGAAUACGUUCCCGGGCCUUGUACACACCGCCCGUCACGUCACGAAAGUCGGUAACGCCCGAAGCCGGU
Molecule: ribosomal RNA, 599 nt
Filed under: uncultured bacterium
Lineage: Bacteria
Description: bacterial SSU rRNA
Rfam family: Bacterial small subunit ribosomal RNA
Source: RNAcentral